This 494-nucleotide ribosomal RNA is filed under the name uncultured bacterium. RNAcentral's name for it is "partial 16S ribosomal RNA". It matches the Rfam family "Bacterial small subunit ribosomal RNA", at positions 28 to 507 of the family's 1533-position model. The record is from RNAcentral.
GACGAACGCUGGCGGCGUGCUUAACACAUGCAAGUCGAACGGAAAGGCCUGCUUUCCCUUGUGGAUUGCGGGUACUCGCGUGGCGAACGGGUGAGUAACACGUGAGUGAUCUGCCCCCAACUUGGGUAUAAGCCUGGGAAACUGGGUCUAAUUCCCGAUAGGACUGCAGGGUGGUGCCUGUGGUGGAACACGAUUUUCUAGUGGUUGGGGAUGAGCUCGCGGCCUAUCAGCUUGUUGGUGGGGUAAUGGCCUACCAAGGCGGCGACGGGUAGCCGGCCUGAGAGGGUGGACGGCCACAGUGGGACUGAGAUACGGCCCAGACUCCUACGGGAGGCAGCAGUGGGGAAUACUGCACAAUGGGCGGAAGCCUGAUGCAGCGACGCAGCGUGGGGGAUGACGGCCUUCGGGUGGUAAACUCCUUUCGACCGCGAGGAAGCCACCUGGUUGGAAGGGUGGUGACGGUAGUGGUAGAAGAAGCACCGGCUAACUACGUG